RNAcentral lists this ribosomal RNA (465 nucleotides) under uncultured bacterium. Its description in RNAcentral is "partial 16S ribosomal RNA". It matches the Rfam family "Bacterial small subunit ribosomal RNA", at positions 28 to 507 of the family's 1533-position model. The record is from RNAcentral.
GACGAACGCUGGCGGCGUGCUUAACACAUGCAAGUCGAACGGAAAGGCCCCUUUGGGGGUACUCGAGUGGCGAACGGGUGAGUAACACGUGAGUAACCUGCCCUUGACUUCGGGAUAACUUCAGGAAACUGGGGCUAAUACCGGAUAGGAAUCCUUGCUGCAUGGUGGGGGUUGGAAAGCUUCGGCGGUUUUGGAUGGACUCGCGGCUUAUCAGCUUGUUGGUGGGGUAGUGGCUUACCAAGGCUUUGACGGGUAGCCGGCCUGAGAGGGCGACCGGCCACAUUGGGACUGAGAUACGGCCCAGACUCCUACGGGAGGCAGCGGUGGGGAAUAUUGCACAAUGGGCGGAAGCCUGAUGCAGCAACGCCGCGUGCGGGAUGACGGCCUUCGGGUUGUAAACCGCGUUCAGCAGGGGCGAAGCUUGUGGUGACGGUACCUGCAGAAGAAGCACCGGCUAACUACGUG